GGAGAGGUGGCAGAGUGGUCGAAUGUACUAGUCUUGAAAACUAGCGUAACUGAAAGGUUACCGAGGGUUCGAAUCCCUCCUUCUCCG
RNAcentral lists this transfer RNA (87 nucleotides) under Chloropicon maureeniae. RNAcentral's name for it is "tRNA-Ser". It matches the Rfam family "tRNA". From Rfam's summary of the family: Transfer RNA (tRNA) molecules are approximately 80 nucleotides in length. Their secondary structure includes four short double-helical elements and three loops (D, anti-codon, and T loops). The record is from RNAcentral. Lineage: Eukaryota; Viridiplantae; Chlorophyta; Chloropicophyceae; Chloropicales; Chloropicaceae.